AUCCAGCUGAUGAGUCCUAAACAGAACGAAUUGCAUGUUCUGGAU
This is a non-coding RNA of Schistosoma haematobium, 45 nucleotides long. NCBI's taxonomy places the organism in Eukaryota, Metazoa, Platyhelminthes, Trematoda, Strigeidida, Schistosomatidae. The record is from Rfam.